ACAUGCCCACACCUGUGGCUUCUGAAGCAGAGCACCAGCAGUGACAGUCCCACCAGAACCGCAUGGAAUAGAAAACUGUGCAUUUCCCUAAGGAAAGGGAAUGCCAGAGAAGGGCAGAAGGGAAAUCAGGAAGACAAAACGGUAAAUUACCUACCACAAAUCCAAUUCAUUGGUAUUUUUCCACUUACACUUAACCAAGCAACGAUUUCUCCUGGUCCCAUAAUGGAAAAGAGGGUUUAUCUAGAUUCAUAUAUACAAGACUGAAGAGUGAAGAGAGACCCAGAGAAUGUUCUAAAAUCUGCCAGUUAGCAUAAUCACACAGAGAAAUCUCUGCUUCCAGAGGAGGAGCCAAGUUCAAGUCAGAGGUGAGGAAUGCCAACAGGAAAGCUCACUUUCUCCGGGGAUAUUCAGGCCAACACUAGGAAACCACAGCCAAGUCAGGCAGGGCUUGGGGCGGAACUGCUGACACCUCCACCCUAGCCAAUCCAAGGUGCACGCCUGCCUCAUGCAGCCCAGCGUGACUCCCGCCAUUGGCACACUGUGCCCAUCACAGGCUGGAGCUCCUUUCCUCCACCGUCUUCCCAACUCCUGCCAACCAGAACUUAACUACUCCUUUGGAUUCUGCUUUUCACUUGUUCUUCAUCAGACUAUGGAAGCUUAGACUUCAUAAUUUGGCUGAGACUUCAAAAAUAGUUUUAAAGAAAGCUAUUCCCACCCUGCUAAAUGUCUUCAUGUUGGAGUGGACCUUUCCUCUAUCUGUCAACAGAAUGGAUAAAUUGUGGAAGAGUAAUAUCAGAAUACUACACAUCAGUAAAAAACAACAAACUUCUGCUACAAACAAUCAACAUCGAUGAAUCUUUCAGGCAAAAGGUUAUAGAAACAGAUGAUCAGUGGCCCACGGAUUCCAGGUGAGGAUCUGGGACCCAGACAUCCAGAUAUUGAAAACACAGGGAUGGAGUCUGUAUGGAAAAAAUUAAAAUAUAGCAAAAUGUGAAAUACGGAAGAGAAAUCUUUCAAUUUCCCAAUGGAAGUGAGAAAAGAGCAAAGAAAAGUAUUGGUCUUCCAAAACAAAUAGAGGACGGAGCUGCUGCUGUUGCAUGGUGUCUAGAAACUCAGACAACUUCAUCAUUCCAUAUUUGCAUCCAAGAGAGAGAAAGAAAAACUACAAUCAUUUUCCAUUUACCCAUCAACCCAUCAACCUCCAAAGACAGGGUCUCACUAUGUUGCCCCAGUUGGCCUUGAACUGCUGGACUCAAGGGAUCCUCCUGCCUCAGCAUCCUGAGUAGCUGGGUCUACAGGCAUGAACCACCAGGCCCAGAACCCUGUCUUUUGAAAGCCAUAUGCGAUCUGUCUGCCCUGAAGUGACUACUUCAUCUCCAACCAGCCCUUGGCUGGCAAAGUCAGGAAGACUCCAGUCUUUCCUGAAGACCAGGGGAGAGUUUAUAACUCUAGCAUCAAAGUCAGCAGCUGUUCAUCUAGAAGACAACUUCCCAAAAGUCAAUGUCUUUGCCUGAAGCUUUUCUUCCCAGAUCUCCUAUGGUGAAACAACCAAAGGGAAGAAGAAUGUGGGCAGCCCUCAGUAAGACAGGAGAUGAGCAUCAACAUUGACCCAUUCUUUCUUCCAGUCCUCGAUGCUUACCUUGUACAUUCUUCUUUGUCUUCCGACUCAGUGCCUUUAGGGUAUGGACGUUGCCUGGUCCCACACAAGCCAAGCAUCAAAUGGAUGGCUCAACAAGGAGGCCAAGACCAGCUAAUGUUUAGUGAGCACCCAAAGGGGCCACACUGGAGAGAACAGCACAGCUCCGUCUGAGAAACAGCUGUUCCUUCCUGCCUGAGAGGCAGAGUGAUAGAAGAUAUCACAGAAUGUUGCUGCUUUGUCUUCCACCCUGAACCCUCCACGACCUCCCUGUAGCUUCCUGAUUUUAAGUAGACAUCAAAUGAUUCUUAAUCCUUUCUGGGUCUUGGAACGAUUUGAAAAUUGUCAACAGUACUGGGAUUCCCAGAAUAAUGCACAUAUGUACAUACUCAGAUAUUCCCCAAGCCCUGGAUAUAAUUUUAAGGGAGUUCACAGACCACACUCCCCCACCCAUCUGUGGACCCAGAUUCUGUGGGUUCGAGAUUCAGAAGCCCUGUUUCUAGGCAGGCCCUCUGUUGCUAACGCCCCUCGAGAACAUCACCCUAGAUGAUUAUCCCUUCUUCCUCCACUCCUUCCCACCUUCUCCAACUGCUGGGUUUCAGCACAAAGAUUGCUUGCCAGUUAAACUGGCACCAUGGACCGCACAGUAGUUGUUUCUUGGGUCUAGAGGAAACAGCCAGAUUCCUUUAAGUAAAUCAUGUCUUAGUUAUUGAUUGUCUCCACUUGAAGUUUUUGACAAUCUCUGAUUAAAUCAUAAACCACUGCA
Molecule: long non-coding RNA, 2402 nt
Filed under: Homo sapiens (human)
Lineage: Eukaryota; Metazoa; Chordata; Mammalia; Primates; Hominidae
Description: long independently transcribed non-coding RNA 2290, transcript variant 2 (LINC02290)
Source: RNAcentral